AUUGAACGCUGGCGGCAGGCCUAACACAUGCAAGUCGAGCGGAUGAAGGGAGCUUGCUCCUGGAUUCAGCGGCGGACGGGUGAGUAAUGCCUAGGAAUCUGCCUGGUAGUGGGGGAUAACGUCCGGAAACGGGCGCUAAUACCGCAUACGUCCUGAGGGAGAAAGUGGGGGAUCUUCGGACCUCACGCUAUCAGAUGAGCCUAGGUCGGAUUAGCUAGUUGGUGGGGUAAAGGCCUACCAAGGCGACGAUCCGUAACUGGUCUGAGAGGAUGAUCAGUCACACUGGAACUGAGACACGGUCCAGACUCCUACGGGAGGCAGCAGUGGGGAAUAUUGGACGAUGGGCGAAAGCCUGAUCCAGCCAUGCCGCGUGUGUGAAGAAGGUCUUCGGAUUGUAAAGCACUUUAAGUUGAGAGGAAGGGCAGUAAGUUAAUACCUUGCUGUUUUGACGUUACCAACAGAAUAAGCACCGGCUAACUUCGUG
RNAcentral lists this ribosomal RNA (484 nucleotides) under uncultured bacterium. RNAcentral describes it as "partial 16S ribosomal RNA". It matches the Rfam family "Bacterial small subunit ribosomal RNA", at positions 30 to 507 of the family's 1533-position model. The record is from RNAcentral.